ACGCUGGCGGCAGGCUUACACAUGCAAGUCGAGCGGGGUGAUGGUGCUUGCACUAUCACUUAGCGGCGGACGGGUGAGUAAUGCUUAGGAAUCUGCCUAUUAGUGGGGGACAACAUCUCGAAAGGGAUGCUAAUACCGCAUACGUCCUACGGGAGAAAGCAGGGGAUCACUUGUGACCUUGCGCUAAUAGAUGAGCCUAAGUCGGAUUAGCUAGUUGGUGGGGUAAAGGCCUACCAAGGCGACGAUCUGUAGCGGGUCUGAGAGGAUGAUCCGCCACACUGGGACUGAGACACGGCCCAGACUCCUACGGGAGGCAGCAGUGGGGAAUAUUGGACAAUGGGGGGAACCCUGAUCCAGCCAUGCCGCGUGUGUGAAGAAGGCCUUAUGGUUGUAAAGCACUUUAAGCGAGGAGGAGGCUCUUUUGGUUAAUACCCAAGAUGAGUGGACGUUACUCGCAGAAUAAGCACCGGCUAACUCUGUGCCAGCAGCCGCGGUAAUACAGAGGGUGCAAGCGUUAAUCGGAUUUACUGGGCGUAAAGCGCGCGUAGGCGGCCAAUUAAGUCAAAUGUGAAAUCCCCGAGCUUAACUUGGGAAUUGCAUUCGAUACUGGUUGGCUAGAGUGUGGGAGAGGAUGGUAGAAUUCCAGGUGUAGCGGUGAAAUGCGUAGAGAUCUGGAGGAAUACCGAUGGCGAAGGCAGCCAUCUGGCCUAACACUGACGCUGAGGUGCGAAAGCAUGGGGAGCAAACAGGAUUAGAUACCCUGGUAGUCCAUGCCGUAAACGAUGUCUACUAGCCGUUGGGGCCUUUGAGGCUUUAGUGGCGCAGCUAACGCGAUAAGUAGACCGCCUGGGGAGUACGGUCGCAAGACUAAAACUCAAAUGAAUUGACGGGGGCCCGCACAAGCGGUGGAGCAUGUGGUUUAAUUCGAUGCAACGCGAAGAACCUUACCUGGCCUUGACAUAGUAGAAACUUUCCAGAGAUGGAUUGGUGCCUUCGGGAU
Molecule: ribosomal RNA, 1000 nt
Filed under: Acinetobacter sp. M.negtv.27.2
Lineage: Bacteria; Pseudomonadati; Pseudomonadota; Gammaproteobacteria; Moraxellales; Moraxellaceae
Description: bacterial SSU rRNA
Rfam family: Bacterial small subunit ribosomal RNA
Source: RNAcentral